Trichoplusia ni (cabbage looper) is the source of this 928-nucleotide long non-coding RNA. RefSeq lists it as uncharacterized. The transcript is spliced from 2 exons. NCBI's taxonomy places the organism in Eukaryota, Metazoa, Arthropoda, Insecta, Lepidoptera, Noctuidae. The record is from RefSeq and is a predicted model, not a curated record.
CAUUGUUUAAUAACUAUAGGAAAAAGGACUAGGUAAUAAAAAAAGAUAAGUGUAUUUUAAUUUUAUCAUAUUCUUAAAUAGUUCAAAUGAUGAAAUGUUUGUAGUGGGGGCUAGUGUGAAACGUCCUGGUAAGUGACGUCACACGUGAUUUUAUAGCAUUUAACCCUUUGACCGCCAAGGACGCUUUAAAGCGUCAUUCAAUAACUUGAUCGAGACGCCAAUGACGUCUUAAAGCGUCCAUCGCAUUUCAACUUUUAAUGACGAAUAAUCCUUAGCUAAUGUUAAUUUUUUUUAAUCAGGAACAUUUAAAACUCUUCUUAUUGACUUCGACUACUAUAAUUAUGCAUUAAAACAUUGAGCUAUAGUAUAAUUGGACACGUAAUACUAAUAAAUAAACUCAUCAAAAAAUUUACUUAUAAAGUUACACCCACGGCGCCAACGACGCCUUAAAGCGUCGACUAGUGUUGUGACUACCUCCGAAUGGAAAGUAAAAAAUAUAAUAGGUAGGUAGUUUCAAAAAUGGUGCCAGUCAAGCUUUUUACGUUAUAUAUAUAUAUUUUUACACUAACCGUCGAAAGCGAAUCGUGUAAACGGCUCUGUGUAUUUUUGGUUCCGCUGAACAGACGUAAUAGUGACAACCAUAUUAUUAUUACUGUUUCCGCAUAAAUUUGAAGCUGCGCUUUGAACCGUAAUGGAGAAGAAGACUGAUUUAAAGCGCCCAAGAGAGCACAUGCCUGCAUAUGUACCGGAUACGAAAAAAUUAUGUAGUAAUUUGAAACGCAAAAGGCGAGAUACGAGAUUUUGGUGCGAAAUUUGUAAAGUGCCUCUUUGUGUUACAUGUUUCCGUGAGUACCAUGAAAAAAAAAAUACUGCACUAACGCAUAUAAAUAUCGACAACUAUCAAUAAAUCUAUCAUCACAUCACUGUU